CCCCUCUCAGGAUCACACCUGGAGAGUUUUCCAUUACACUACCAGUCUUGGCUAUAGGAAGGAGAGUCAAGCAGAUGCAUACCCAUUCCGUUCCUAGUUUGGCCAGUGGCUAGUGAAUGGAAAUCAAUCUGCUACAAGU
Molecule: small nucleolar RNA, 139 nt
Organism: Tachyglossus aculeatus (Australian echidna)
Lineage: Eukaryota; Metazoa; Chordata; Mammalia; Monotremata; Tachyglossidae
Source: RefSeq, a predicted model, not a curated record